UGGGGAAUAUUGCACAAUGGGCGCAAGCCUGAUGCAGCGAUGCCGCGUGAGGGAAGAAGGUUUUCGGAUUGUAAACCUCUGUCAUCAGGGACGAAAAAGGACGGUACCUGAGAAGGAAGCUCCGGCUAACUACGUGCCAGCAGCCGCGGUAAUACGUAGGGGGCAAGCGUUAUCCGGAAUUAUUGGGCGUAAAGAGUGCGUAGGUGGUUACCUAAGCAGGGGGUGAAAGGCAAUGGCUUAACCAUUGUUAGCCCCCUGAACUGGGCUACUUGAGUGCAGGAGAGGAAAGCGGAAUUCCUAGUGUAGCGGUGAAAUGCGUAGAUAUUAGGAGGAACACCAGUGGCGAAGGCGGCUUUCUGGACUGUAACUGACGCUGAGGUACGAAAGCGUGGGGAGCAAACAGGAUUAGAUACCCUGGUAGU
Molecule: ribosomal RNA, 422 nt
Filed under: uncultured Anaerovorax sp.
Lineage: Bacteria; Bacillati; Bacillota; Clostridia; Peptostreptococcales; Anaerovoracaceae
Description: bacterial SSU rRNA
Rfam family: Bacterial small subunit ribosomal RNA
Source: RNAcentral